AGUUCAAUGGAAGUGCUGUUAUCUGCCUUUUACAGAAUAUGAAUUUGAAGCUCAGAGGAUUGCCUCAGGUUCCUUAGGUUACACAUUUGUUAAGUGACACUACCACAUCUUGAAUUCAUAUCUGUCUGAGUAAAAAAAUUCAUACCUUGAAUACUAUAGCAGCUGGUAUGUGAUUUUUACAAUAAAAAAAUUCAUGCUUUUAUUGAGAUGAAAUCUGUAUUGCUCUAGCUUAGAUUCUUUGUGUACCUACAAUGCCAUUUACUAUUGUACCUCUCUCUCACCUGAAAGCUUAUCUGUACCCUAGAACUUAAAGUAUAAUUUAAAAAACAAAUACAUAUAUAUAAUAUAUAUAUUACUAUUCUUGGCAAUAAAGCUUUAGUAAGGACUAUACUUCUUUCCCAUCUGCCACAAAAAGAUAAUAACCUUCACACAAAACAUGCCACACAAGAAAAAAGCUAAAUAAAAUGGACUUUAAGACUUCCAUACAAACAAAUCAAGAGAUCUAAAAAGAAGUGGCAAGAUCAUAGAGUGAAAAUAUCUCUUAUUUAUAUUUGUGAACAAGUAAAGUAGGCUUCACAUGAAGAGAUGUUUUCAAAUAAGGAAUAAAAAAAGAAAAAUGAUAAUUAAUGACUAUUACGCUUUUAGAUUUUUAUCUCACACAAAAAGGGUCAGCCAUGGGGAAUAGUAUAUUGACCCCAAAGCCUGCACAUUGUUUUAAGUUUUUCUAUUAUAUUUGAAUAAUCUAUACAUACAAUAUAAUAUGAUCAUUCAGAGAGCAACAUUUAGUUUUGGUCCACACAAGAAAUUAUUUUCUGCAAGUGUGUUACCCUUCCAGCCACUCCUUUCCU
This 848-nucleotide long non-coding RNA is filed under the name Pan troglodytes (chimpanzee). Its description in RNAcentral is "long non-coding RNA NONPTRT002180". The record is from RNAcentral. Lineage: Eukaryota; Metazoa; Chordata; Mammalia; Primates; Hominidae.